AUUCCAGCUCCAAUAGCGUAUAUUAAAGUUGUUGCAGUUAAAAAGCUCGUAGUUGGAGUUCUGAGUGAGCUCAAUCGGUCGGGAUUAUGUCUCAGAACUGGUUGACUCUCUCUUGUUUGUGGAUCCUGUUCGGAGUUAACUCUUCGGAUGUGGAGUCCACAUCGUUUACCUUGAAAAAAUUAGAGUGUUCAAAGCAGGCGUUUGCUUGAAUAUAUUAGCAUGGAAUAAUGGAAUAGGACGCUGGUUCUAUUUUGUUGGUUUUGAGAACCAGAGUAAUGAUUAAUAGGGACAGUUGGGGGCAUUCAUAUUUCAUUGUCAGAGGUGAAAUUCUUGGAUUUAUGAAAGAUGAACUUCUGCGAAAGCAUUUGCCAAGGAUGUUUUCAUUA
This 386-nucleotide ribosomal RNA is filed under the name Telonemia sp. Its description in RNAcentral is "partial small subunit ribosomal RNA". It matches the Rfam family "Eukaryotic small subunit ribosomal RNA", at positions 582 to 975 of the family's 1831-position model. The record is from RNAcentral. Lineage: Eukaryota; Telonemia.